This 60-nucleotide transfer RNA is filed under the name Ictidomys tridecemlineatus (thirteen-lined ground squirrel). RNAcentral describes it as "Spermophilus tridecemlineatus (thirteen-lined ground squirrel) tRNA". Lineage: Eukaryota; Metazoa; Chordata; Mammalia; Rodentia; Sciuridae. The record is from Rfam by way of RNAcentral.
UGUAGCUCAGUGCAGAGCAUUUGUCAUGCAGGCAAGAGGCCCUGGGUUCAACCCCCAGCA